Molecule: ribosomal RNA, 252 nt
Filed under: uncultured bacterium
Lineage: Bacteria
Description: partial 16S ribosomal RNA
Rfam family: Bacterial small subunit ribosomal RNA
Source: RNAcentral
GACGUAGGGCGCGAGCGUUGUCCGGAUUUAUUGGGCGUAAAGAGCUCGUAGGCGGCUUGUCGCGUCGAAUGUGAAAUCUCAGGGCUCAACUCUGACAUUGCAUUCGAUACGGGCAGGCUAGAGUUCGGUAGGGGAGACUGGAAUUCCUGGUGUAGCGGUGGAAUGCGUAGAGAUCCGGAAGAACACCGGUGGCGAAGGCGGUCUGCUGGGGUAAUGCUGACACUGAUGCGCGACAGCGUGGGGAGCAACAGG